RNAcentral lists this ribosomal RNA (375 nucleotides) under uncultured eukaryote. RNAcentral describes it as "partial 18S ribosomal RNA". It matches the Rfam family "Eukaryotic small subunit ribosomal RNA", at positions 592 to 976 of the family's 1831-position model. The record is from RNAcentral.
CAAUAGCGUAUAUUUAAGUUGUUGCAGUUAAAAAGCUCGUAGUUGGAUUUCGGUUAAGAGCGACCGGUCCGCCGUUUGGUGUGCACUGGUUGGUUUUAACUUCCUGUAGAGGACGUGCUCUGGGUUUAACGACCUGGACUCGGAGUCUACGUGGUUACUUUGAAAAAAUUAGAGUGUUCAAAGCGGGCUUACGCUUGAAUAUUUCAGCAUGGAAUAACACUAUAGGACUCCUGUCCUAUUCCGUUGGUCUCGGGACGGGAGUAAUGAUUAAGAGGAACAGUUGGGGGCAUUCGUAUUUCAUUGUCAGAGGUGAAAUUCUUGGAUUUAUGAAAGACGAACUUCUGCGAAAGCAUUUGCCAAGGAUGUUUUCAUUAA